RNAcentral lists this ribosomal RNA (921 nucleotides) under Penicillium sp. DsppF9. RNAcentral describes it as "SSU rRNA". It matches the Rfam family "Eukaryotic small subunit ribosomal RNA", at positions 125 to 1054 of the family's 1831-position model. The record is from RNAcentral. Lineage: Eukaryota; Fungi; Ascomycota; Eurotiomycetes; Eurotiales; Aspergillaceae.
UAGUACCCUACUACAUGGAUACCUGUGGUAAUUCUAGAGCUAAUACAUGCGCAAAACCCCGACUUCGGAAGGGGUGUAUUUAUUAGAUAAAAAACCAAUGCCCUUCGGGGCUCCUUGGUGAUUCAUAAUAACUUAACGAAUCGCAUGGCCUUGCGCCGGCGAUGGUUCAUUCAAAUUUCUGCCCUAUCAACUUUCGAUGGUAGGAUAGUGGCCUACCAUGGUGGCAACGGGUAACGGGGAAUUAGGGUUCGAUUCCGGAGAGGGAGCCUGAGAAACGGCUACCACAUCCAAGGAAGGCAGCAGGCGCGCAAAUUACCCAAUCCCGAUCCGGGGAGGUAGUGACAAUAAAUACUGAUAUAGGGCUCUUUUGGGUCUUAUAAUUGGAAUGAGUACAAUCUAAAUCUCUUAACGAGGAACAAUUGGAGGGCAAGUCUGGUGCCAGCAGCCGCGGUAAUUCCAGCUCCAAUAGCGUAUAUUAAAGUUGUUGCAGUUAAAAAGCUCGUAGUUGAACCUUGGGCCCGUCCUGCCGGUCCGCCUCACCGCGAGUACUGGUCCGGAUGGGUCUUUCUUUCUGGGGAAUCCCAUGGCCUUCACUGGCUGUGGCGGGGAACCAGGACUUUUACUGUGAAAAAAUUAGAGUGUUCAAAGCAGGCCUUUGCUCGGAUACAUUAGCAUGGAAUAAUAAAAUAGGACGUGUGGUUCUAUUUUGUUGGUUUCUAGGACCGCCGUAAUGAUUAAUAGGGAUAGUCGGGGGCGUCAGUAUUCAGCUGUCAGAGGUGAAAUUCUUGGAUUUGCUGAAGACUAACUACUGCGAAAGCAUUCGCCAAGGAUGUUUUCAUUAAUCAGGGAACGAAAGUUAGGGGAUCGAAAACGAUCAGAUACCGUUGUAGUCUUAACCAUAAACUAUGCCGACUAGGGAUC